GAUUGAUGAAGUUUGAAAUGUCUCCAAGACAGCGGGGAAGGAAGUCAGACACUCGGCAAGCGAUGGCUGGCUGUUUAUAAACCCAAUCUCCCUCUCAAAUUCAAAAUUCAUGGCUUUCAAUGGUGGGGGAGGGGGCCUGCUGGGGGGGCGUCAGGAGGGAGGAUCGGAAGGGACCCCCCCUCCUGCCCCCCCCAGGUCUGUGUGAUGGAGCGAUUUUGGGAGGGGAAGAUUUUGCUUUUUUUUUUUUUUAAUUUUGGGCCUUUAUAAUUGUAUAUUGCUGAUAAAUACAAGCGUAUGGGGACUCUCUCUAUUAAACCCAGGACUCCGGCGAAAUUGCAGGGAAUUCAUGGUCACGGGACCGGCCUUGGCCAAUCGCUUGUCUGGGCCUGGUGGAAAACAGAGAGCGUUAUUUGCUUUAAUUGAUUCAAAAACUGUAGAGGACCAUGACCUGGACACCAUGAGCCCCCCAGUCCUACACUCCCUCUCCGCAUGACUCACUUUCUCCAGAAAAGCUAAAGGAACCUUUUCCUCAUCCCCUUCAGAGGAUGGGAGGUUCUGGAAUCCCAGGAAACAAGAGAACCUAAGGGAGAAAUCGUCCUCUUCUGAAAAUAUUUUUAAUAGAGUAAAUUAAAGCUUUCUUUACAAGGCCAGCAGCAUUCUCUUCCCCUCCCCCCCCCCCAAAGAAGCUGAGUGAGGAUCUCAAUGUGAGAGGAAGAGGUAGUAAAAAGAGGCUUUCGCCUUUGGGAAAGGUCGGUGUUACCGUGCAGCAAGGAAGAGAUUUGCAAGCAUCAGCAGCGCUAUCCCCAACCCACCCCCCAAAACAACAGAUAAAUCUUGGGAAAUCGACAAGCACUCCUAGGCUGACACAGAGGGGUGAGAGAGAUAGUGAGGGGCCCUUUUGCACCUCUGGCCUACAUAGCUGUGUGGUCUCAGUUGCCUUCUCUGCCCAGCGUUUGCAGCACUACCCCUGCCCCUAUGUCUACCUGCCUCCUCACCUGGAGGCAUCUGCACUCCUAUAUGACACCCCCAACAGACAGGGUCUAAGAUGCAUAUGCACCCACCCACUCAAGCCUCAAGCCUGUAUCUGCAUCUAUAUCCAGCAACAGGAACAAGAACCAAGGUAGCCACCGAUUCAACUUAGAGAACUCUCAAACCUCAGGUCAAUGUAUGGGGUGGAGGUGGGGCUUUUCCCUCAAGGAAUCCCCCUGCCAUUUUUGCCAUUGUAUUAAUUAAUAUCCCUGACAAGGUAGAAUUCCCUAAACAUGGAGGGGGUGAAAAAAUAAUGACUACUGAGACGAUAUUCCAUUUCUGGCCCCUGGGGGGAAUUGUUGUUGUUUAUUUCUUUUCAGAGGAUCAAGAUAGUGUGAACUUUAGGGAGUGCUGUAAUUUACGGGAGGGAAGGGAUACAAGACUCAGGGCCCCAAGCAAUCGGUGGGAAACUAGAUCUCAAAACAGAAAAUGAAAAGUCGAUCUGGGGUAAGAUUUUUAAAUAAGUGGGUCAGAGGGACCGAGAGGAGAUGAGGUGAUCAAUCUUAGCCCCCUGACAGCUCCCUCGGAUGGCAUCAAAGAAUUUGGCUCUUUGGGAAAGCAGAGGGAACAGCCGAAAUUCCACAUCCCUUUAAAAGGCCUGGGGAUGGGGGGUGCUAGCAAAAGAGAAGGGUGAUUCUGGGAGAGCAGGGAAACAGAUGGGAAAUGGGGACAGAGGAAGGGCACUGGGUUGGGUGGAAAGUUUGUCUGGAGAACUCCCACGGCUCUGGCCUCCCCUCCCCCUCCUUGCUCGCUGCCUCCUAGCAAGAAGGAGAAGGCUGGUUAGCAGAGAAAUGGCAUCUCGGCCGGGAGCUGGAACUAGAAACUUUCUGUCAAUGUAACAGACGCGUGGGUGGUGGUGAGUAUUCAUCCGCGUGGGUGGUGGGUGAGUAAAAAAAGACAGAGAAAUCUGAGGAAAAGGAUGGGGUGGAGGAGAGCCAGGAGGAAAAAAGGGGAGCUGGAGGCAAGGGCUGCAGGGCAGGGGGCGGCAAGCUCUGGAGGGUUCAGAUCCAAGAGAGCUGCUCUGAAAAACUGGGCAAACUCGCCAGAGACGGUUAGUUGUGUCCAGCUCAGCUCCAAAUAAAGUAAUUUUUGCUACUUGGAGGAGGGGAUGGGGGUGGGAGUGGGGAGUAGGCAGAGAAGAAUCUGAAGAGUAGUUGUCUGGAAGUUGUGCAGUGAGGCCUGGGAGGGUUCUUCCUCCGGCCACCCCCUUGAAAAGCCCUGCAAGUUUUUCACAGCCUCUCCGGCUGGCUGCAGGGUUGAGCGCUUCUCUCCGCAACAACUCCGGCUGCCCCUGCAGGAAAUACGGCUCUCUCUAACCCUGCUGACAGAUUUUAUGGCCAGAUUAGAGAACAGCAGAACACUUGGGUGUUAAAAGGGACCAAGAGAACCUUCCUUCCCCGAGACACCGCUUCCCUGCCCCCUUGCUGUGCUGUGAAUCUUACAGCGCAGAUAUUUCCCCCUUCCCCAGAUAUUUCCCCCUUCCCACUGCUUAGCUAGGGCCUGAAAUCCCUCAGAAGGAAGGGUAGGGGACACCAAGCCAAGGCAGCCCUUAUUUUUCUUGUUUGCAAUGACAAUUUCAAGCCAAGGCUCAGUUUUUCAAACUUGAGCUAAACUCUCUGACUUGCCUGCCUUUCUCCUGCUAGAUAAUCUAUCCACUCAACCCCCAGAGCCAAACGCGGCGCUUCACCUAGUUACAUCAUUCAGAAGAUGUUACUCAGGGAAGAGGAAGAGAGAGAGAAAGACAGAAAGAAAGAAAAACCCUUGAGCGUUAUUUGAUCCCAAUCAAACUUUGCACGCUCUUAUGCCUUUAAAUUAUAGCCUGACCCAAUGCUAAAUUGCUUGCUGGUUAGGUGAGCCUAGUCCAGUUAAAAUCCUACUUGGUGGUGGGGGGGGGGAGUGUAGAAUUCAGGUUGCUUUUUUAUUGUUAUUUAUUGUUGCAUAAAGACUGUAAUUACUAACCUUGGACUGCCAGGAUGCAACAUAAAAAUGAAAAUCAGCUCUCGCUUUAAGGCUGAGGGCCUGGAACGAUUCUCACCGACACGCCCCCCCCCCAUCACUAUCAACAAAUAUAUGCUCCUAAUUAAGCAAUGCGGGCGCAUCGCUUACAAUCAGAAUUAUGCAACUCUUCAGCAAGCAGCCAUCGCCUCUCUUUCAACGAAUUAGCUCCAUAUUUCAGCCGCCCUGUCUCCUCGCUCUUAUCGGCUCCAGCGACGCGGCAGUGACAUUUCAUCUUUGACAGACUCUCUCUAUCCUCGCUCCAAUGUGAUAAAAGUUUUAUGGAACCACGACUAAGAAAUGAAGUUUUCCCAAGGAUCGUGGAAACAGAGCAGCACAUUAGCCUGGGGACCAUUUUAUUUACGCUUGGAUCCAACAGCUUCUCCUACCCUCCUCCUCUCCCCUUUCCCUGGCAGUGGAAAUCAAACACGCCUCCUCUCCCUCCGCCCUGAGUUUUAUUUAGUGAUUUAAUUUCACUUUAGUUUUAAGGUUUGACCUGAGAAGUCUAGGCCUCAGAUUUUUUUUUUAGAUUAAUCAUUUUCCUUUGUUUUCAUUUUAGACCCAAUGGUGGUUGGGCUUCGGGUCACGUGACGACUUCUUUGUCGCUCCGGAAGAGAACUGUGAAGUUUAGGUUGCGUGAGAAUUGCCAGGAAAAAAAAAAAUCAAGAUUUGGGGGAAUUACCCACAUAGAUGUAAGGUGUGUUAACUUGGGCGCUUCUUGGAUUCUACCCUGAGGAGGAGGCGCAUGAUCUUGAUUUGCCGCUCGCUGAGGUUCAGCAGGUUGGCCAUCUCCACGCGGCGUGGCCGGCACAGGUAGCGGUUGAAGUGGAACUCCUUCUCCAGCUCCACCAGCUGCG
Long non-coding RNA from Aethalodelphis obliquidens (Pacific white-sided dolphin), 3881 nucleotides. RefSeq lists it as uncharacterized. NCBI's taxonomy places the organism in Eukaryota, Metazoa, Chordata, Mammalia, Artiodactyla, Delphinidae. The record is from RefSeq and is a predicted model, not a curated record. The transcript has 4 exons.